UACAGAGGGUGCAAGCGUUAAUCGGAUUUACUGGGCGUAAAGGGCGCGUAGGUGGUUAUUUAAGUGAGAUGUGAAAUCCCCGGGCUUAACCUGGGAACUGCGUCUUAUACUGGAUAACUGGAGUGCAAUAGAGGGUAGUGGAAUUUCCGGUGUAGCGGUGAAAUGCGUAGAUAUCGGAAGGAACACCAGUGGCGAAGGCGGCUACCUGGAUUGACACUGACACUGAGGCGCGAGAGCGUGGGGAGCAAACAGG
RNAcentral lists this ribosomal RNA (253 nucleotides) under uncultured bacterium. RNAcentral describes it as "partial 16S ribosomal RNA". It matches the Rfam family "Bacterial small subunit ribosomal RNA", at positions 524 to 776 of the family's 1533-position model. The record is from RNAcentral.